UACGUAGGGUGCAAGCGUUGUCCGGAAUUAUUGGGCGUAAAGAGCUCGUAGGCGGUUCGUCGCGUCGGCUGUGAAAACCUGAGGCUCAACUGGGGAGGGUCAUGCGAUACGGUCAGACUGGAGGCCAGUAGGGGGAUGCGGAAUUCCGGGUGUAGCGGUGGAAUGCGUAGAGAUCCGGAAGAACACCGGUGGCGAAGGCGGCCUGCUGGGCAGUUGCUGACACUGAGGCGCGACAGCGUGGGGAGCAAACAGG
RNAcentral lists this ribosomal RNA (253 nucleotides) under uncultured bacterium. RNAcentral's name for it is "partial 16S ribosomal RNA". It matches the Rfam family "Bacterial small subunit ribosomal RNA", at positions 524 to 776 of the family's 1533-position model. The record is from RNAcentral.